ACAGGAUUAGAUACCCUGGUAGUCCACGCCGUAAACGAUGUCGACUUGGAGGUUGUUCCCUUGAGGAGUGGCUUCCGGAGCUAACGCGUUAAGUCGACCGCCUGGGGAGUACGGCCGCAAGGUUAAAACUCAAAUGAAUUGACGGGGGCCCGCACAAGCGGUGGAGCAUGUGGUUUAAUUCGAUGCAACGCGAAGAACCUUACCUACUCUUGACAUCCACGGAAUUUGGCAGAGAUGCCUUAGUGCCUUCGGGAACCGUGAGACAGGUGCUGCAUGGCUGUCGUCAGCUCGUGUUGUGAAAUGUUGGGUUAAGUCCCGCAACGAGCGCAACCCUUAUCCUUUGUUGCCAGCGAUUCGGUCGGGAACUCAAAGGAGACUGCCGGUGAUAAACCGGAGGAAGGUGGGGAUGACGUCAAGUCAUCAUGGCCCUUACGAGUAGGGCUACACACGUGCUACAAUGGCGCAUACAAAGAGAAGCGACCUCGCGAGAGCAAGCGGACCUCAUAAAGUGCGUCGUAGUCCGGAUCGGAGUCUGCAACUCGACUCCGUGAAGUCGGAAUCGCUAGUAAUCGUGGAUCAGAAUGCCACGGUGAAUACGUUCCCGGGCCUUGUACACACCGCCCGUCACACCAUGGGAGUGGGUUGCAAAAGAAGUAGGUAGCUUAACCUUCGGGAGGGCGCUUACCACUUUGUGAUUCAUGACUGGGGUGAAGUCG
This 716-nucleotide ribosomal RNA is filed under the name Pantoea sp. Its description in RNAcentral is "bacterial SSU rRNA". It matches the Rfam family "Bacterial small subunit ribosomal RNA", at positions 772 to 1488 of the family's 1533-position model. Lineage: Bacteria; Pseudomonadati; Pseudomonadota; Gammaproteobacteria; Enterobacterales; Erwiniaceae. The record is from RNAcentral.